AUGCACUGUGUUUGUUUACUGUGUUUGUUUACUGUGUUUGUUUACUGUGUUUAUGCACUGUGUUUGUUUACUGUGUUUAUGCACUGUGUUUGUUUACUGUGUUUAUGCACUGUGUAUGUUUACUGUGUUUAUGCACUGUGUUUAUGCACUGUGUUUGUUUAUUGUGUUUAUGCACUGUGUUUAUGCACUGUGUAUGUUUACUGUGUUUAUGCACUGUGUUUAUGCACUGUGUUUGUUUACUGUGUUUGUUUACUGUGUUUGUUUACUGUGUUUGUUUACUGUGUUUAUGCACUGUGUUUAUGCACUGUGUAUGUUUACUGUGUUUAUGCACUGUGUUUGUUUACUGUGUUUAUGCACUGUGUAUGUUUACUGUGUUUAUGCACUGUGUUUGUUUACUGUGUUUAUGCACUGUGUAUGUUUACUGUGUUUAUGCACUGUGUUUGUUUACUGUGUUUGUUUACUGUGUUUGUUUACUGUGUUUAUGCACUGUGUUUAUGCACUGUGUAUGUUUACUGUGUUUAUGCACUGUGUUUGUUUACUGUGUUUAUGCACUGUGUAUGUUUACUGUGUUUAUGCACUGUGUUUGUUUACUGUGUUUAUGCACUGUGUAUGUUUACUGUGUUUAUGCACUGUGUUUGUUUACUGUGUUUAUGCACUGUGUAUGUUUACUGUGUUUAUGCACUGUGUUUGUUUACUGUGUUUAUGCACUGUGUAUGUUUACUGUGUUUAUGCACUGUGUUUAUGCACUGUGUUUGUUUACUGUGUUUAUGCACUGUGUUUAUGCACUGUGUAUGUUUACUGUGUUUAUGCACUGUGUUUGUUUACUGUGUUUAUGCACUGUGUAUGUUUACUGUGUUUAUGCACUGUGUUUGUUUACUGUGUUUAUGCACUGUGUUUGUUUACUGUGUUUAUGCACUGUGUAUGUUUACUGUGUUUAUGCACUGUGUUUAUGCACUGUGUUUGUUUAUUGUGUUUAUGCACUGUGUUUAUGCACUGUGUAUGUUUACUGUGUUUAUGCACUGUGUUUAUGCACUGUGUUUGUUUACGGUGUUUGUUUACUGUGUUUGUUUACUGUGUUUGUUUACUGUGUUUAUGCACUGUGUUUAUGCACUGUGUAUGUUUACUGUGUUUAUGCACUGUGUUUGUUUACUGUGUUUAUGCACUGUGUAUGUUUACUGUGUUUAUGCACUGUGUUUGUUUACUGUGUUUAUGCACUGUGUAUGUUUACUGUGUUUAUGCACUGUGUUUAUGCACUGUGUUUGUUUACUGUGUUUAUGCACUGUGUUUAUGCACUGUGUAUGUUUACUGUGUUUAUGCACUGUGUUUGUUUACUGUGUUUAUGCACUGUGUAUGUUUACUGUGUUUAUGCACUGUGUUUGUUUACUGUGUUUAUGCACUGUGUUUGUUUACUGUGUUUAUGCACUGUGUAUGUUUACUGUGUUUAUGCACUGUGUUUAUGCACUGUGUUUGUUUAUUGUGUUUAUGCACUGUGUUUAUGCACUGUGUAUGUUUACUGUGUUUAUGCACUGUGUUUAUGCACUGUGUUUGUUUACUGUGUUUGUUUACUGUGUUUGUUUACUGUGUUUAUGCACUGUGUUUAUGCACUGUGUAUGUUUACUGUGUUUAUGCACUGUGUUUGUUUACUGUGUUUAUGCACUGUGUAUGUUUACUGUGUUUAUGCACUGUGUUUGUUUACUGUGUUUAUGCACUGUGUAUGUUUACUGUGUUUAUGCACUGUGUUUAUGCACUGUGUUUGUUUGUUUACUGUGUUUAUGCACUGUGUUUAUGCACUGUGUAUGUUUACUGUGUUUAUGCACUGUGUUUGUUUACUGUGUUUAUGCACUGUGUAUGUUUACUGUGUUUAUGCACUGUGUUUGUUUACUGUGUUUAUGCACUGUGUUUGUUUACUGUGUUUAUGCACUGUGUAUGUUUACUGUGUUUAUGCACUGUGUUUAUGCACUGUGUUUGUUUAUUGUGUUUAUGCACUGUGUUUAUGCACUGUGUAUGUUUACUGUGUUUAUGCACUGUGUUUAUGCACUGUGUUUGUUUACUGUGUUUGUUUACUGUGUUUGUUUACUGUGUUUGUUUACUGUGUUUAUGCACUGUGUUUAUGCACUGUGUAUGUUUACUGUGUUUAUGCACUGUGUUUAUGCACUGUGUUUGUUUACUGUGUUUGUUUACUGUGUUUGUUUACUGUGUUUAUGCACUGUGUAUGUUUACUGUGUUUGUUUACUGUGUUUGUUUACUGUGUUUAUGCACUGUGUAUGUUUACUGUGUUUGUUUACUGUGUUUAUGCACUGUGUAUGUUUACUGUGUUUGUUUACUGUGUUUGUUUACUGUGUUUAUUUACUGUGUUUAUGCACUGUGUAUGUUUACUGUGUUUGUUUACUGUGUUUGUUUACUGUGUUUGUUUACUGUGUUUAUGCACUGUGUAUGUUUACUGUGUUUGUUUACUGUGUUUAUGCACUGUGUUUAUGCACUGUGUUUAUGCACUGUGUAUGUUUACUGUGUUUAUGCACUGUGUUUAUGCACUGUGUUUGUUUACUGUGUUUGUUUACUGUGUUUGUUUACUGUGUUUAUGCACUGUGUAUGUUUACUGUGUUUGUUUACUGUGUUUGUUUACUGUGUUUAUGCACUGUGUAUGUUUACUGUGUUUGUUUACUGUGUUUAUGCACUGUGUAUGUUUACUGUGUUUGUUUACUGUGUUUGUUUACUGUGUUUAUUUACUGUGUUUAUGCACUGUGUUUGUUUACUGUGUUUGUUUACUGUGUUUGUUUACUGUGUUUGUUUACUGUGUUUAUGCACUGUGUAUGUUUACUGUGUUUGUUUACUGUGUUUGUUUACUGUGUUUAUGCACUGUGUAUGUUUACUGUGUUUGUUUACUGUGUUUAUGCACUGUGUAUGUUUACUGUGUUUGUUUACUGUGUUUGUUUACUGUGUUUAUUUACUGUGUUUAUGCACUGUGUAUGUUUACUGUGUUUGUUUACUGUGUUUAUGCACUGUGUAUGUUUACUGUGUUUGUUUACUGUGUUUAUGCACUGUGUUUGUUUAUUGUGUUUAUGCACUGUGUUUAUACACUGUGUAUGUUUACUGUGUAUGUUUACUGUGUUUAUGCACUGUGUUUGUUUACUGUGUUUAUGCACUGUGUAUGUUUACUGUGUUUAUGCACUGUGUAUGUUUACUGUGUUUGUUUACUGUGUUUAUGCACUGUGUUUAUGCACUGUGUAUGUUUACUGUGUUUGUUUACUGUGUUUAUGCACUGUGUUUAUGCACUGUGUUUAUGCACUGUGUUUGUUUACUGUGUUUAUGCACUGUGUUUAUGCACUGUGUUCAUGCACUGUGUUUAUGCACUGUGUUUGUUUACUGUGUAUGUUUACUGUGUUUAUGCACUGUGUUUGUUUACUGUGUUUAUGCACUGUGUAUGUUUACUGUGUUUGUUUACUGUGUUUAUGCACUGUGUUUAUGCACUGUGUAUGUUUACUGUGUUUGUUUACUGUGUUUAUGCACUGUGUUUGUUUACUGUGUUUAUGCACUGUGUAUGUUUACUGUGUUUAUGCACUGUGUUUAUGCACUGUGUUUAUGCACUGUGUUUGUUUACUGUGUUUGUUUACUGUGUAUGUUUACUGUGUUUAUGCACUGUGUUUGUUUACUGUGUUUAUGCACUGUGUAUGUUUACUGUGUUUGUUUACUGUGUUUAUGCACUGUGUUUAUGCACUGUGUAUGUUUACUGUGUUUGUUUACUGUGUUUAUGCACUGUGUUUGUUUACUGUGUUUAUGCACUGUGUAUGUUUACUGUGUUUAUGCACUGUGUUUGUUUACUGUGUUUAUGCACUGUGUAUGUUUACUAUGUUUGUUUACUGUGUUUAUGCACUGUGUUUGUUUAUUGUGUUUAUGCACUGUGUUUAUGCACUGUGUAUGUUUACUGUGUUUAUGCACUGUGUUUGUUUACUGUGUUUAUGCACUGUGUAUGUUUACUGUGUUUGUUUACUGUGUUUGUUUACUGUGUUUAUGCACUGUGUAUGUUUACUGUGUUUGAUUACUGUGUUUAUGCACUGUGUUUGUUUAUUGUGUUUAUGCACUGUGUUUAUACACUGUGUAUGUUUACUGUGUUUGUUUACUGUGUUUAUGCACUGUGUUUGUUUACUGUGUUUAUGCACUGUGUAUGUUUACUGUGUUUAUGCACUGUGUAUGUUUACGGUGUUUGUUUACUGUGUUUAUGCACUGUGUUUAUGCACUGUGUAUGUUUACUGUGUUUGUUUACUGUGUUUGUUUACUGUGUUUAUGCACUGUGUUUAUGCACUGUGUUUGUUUAUUGUGUUUAUGCACUGUGUUUAUGCACUGUGUAUGUUUACUGUGUUUGUUUACUGUGUUUAUGCACUGUGUUUAUGCACUGUGUAUGUUUACUGUGUUUGUUUACUGUGUAUGUUUACUGUGUUUAUGCACUGUGUAUGUUUACUGUGUUUGUUUACUGUGUAUGUUUACUGUGUUUAUUCACUGUGUUUAUGCACUGUGUAUGUUUACUGUGUUUGUUCACUGUGUUCGUUUACUGUGUUUAUGCACUGUGUAUGUUUACUGUGUUUGUUUACUGUGUUUAUGCACUGUGUUUAUGCACUGUGUUUGUUUACUGUGUUUGUUUACUGUGUUUGUUUACUGUGUUUAUGCACUGUGUUUGUUUACUGUGUUUAUGCACUGUGUUUGUUUACUGUGUUUAUGCACUGUGUUUGUUUACUGUGUUUGUUUACUGUGUUUGUUUACUGCGUUUAUGCACUGUGUUUGUUUACUGUGUUUAUGCACUGUGUAUGUUUACUGUGUUUAUGCACUGUGUUUAUGCACUGUGUUUGUUUACUGUGUUUAUGCACUGUGUAUGUUUACUGUGUUUGUUUACUGUGUUUAUGCACUGUGUUUAUGCACUGUGUAUGUUUACUGUGUUUAUGCACUGUGUUUAUGCACUGUGUUUAUGCACUGUGUUUAUGCACUGCGUUUGUUUACUGCGUUUGUUUACUGCGUUUGUUUACUUGCGUAUGUUUACUGUGUUUAUGCACUGUGUUUGUUUACUGUUUGUUUACAAAAGUCAAUGAUAAUGUUGAUACUUGA
This is a long non-coding RNA of Oncorhynchus mykiss (rainbow trout), 5094 nucleotides long. Lineage: Eukaryota; Metazoa; Chordata; Actinopteri; Salmoniformes; Salmonidae. The record is from Ensembl.